AGAUUUUAAUUGAAUGCUAAGAGAAUGGAAACCCAGAAAAAAACUUUUUUUAAAUUAAAAAUUGAAAUUUUUUUAAUUUGUGCAGAAACAAUUAUUAAUAUUAAGGACAAGAAGACCCUAUGAAUUUAUAAAAUUCUAUUCAAUAUGUUAUUGCUGUUGUAGAAUUUUUGGCUGGGGCGGCUAAAAAAUAUUUUAAACUUUUUAAAAGUAAAAUGAUCCAUUAUUAAUGAUUACAUGUGAAAUACUCUAGGGAUAACAGCGUAA
RNAcentral lists this ribosomal RNA (264 nucleotides) under Rhipicephalus turanicus. RNAcentral describes it as "partial large subunit ribosomal RNA". The record is from RNAcentral. Lineage: Eukaryota; Metazoa; Arthropoda; Arachnida; Ixodida; Ixodidae.